This 460-nucleotide ribosomal RNA is filed under the name uncultured bacterium. RNAcentral describes it as "partial 16S ribosomal RNA". It matches the Rfam family "Bacterial small subunit ribosomal RNA", at positions 338 to 795 of the family's 1533-position model. The record is from RNAcentral.
CCUACGGGUGGCAGCAGUGAGGAAUAUUGGUCAAUGGACGAGAGUCUGAACCAGCCAAGUAGCGUGAAGGAUGACUGCCCUAUGGGUUGUAAACUUCUUUUAUAUGGGAAUAAAACGUUCCACGUGUGGGAUUUUGUAUGUACCAUAUGAAUAAGGAUCGGCUAACUCCGUGCCAGCAGCCGCGGUAAUACGGAGGAUCCGAGCGUUAUCCGGAUUUAUUGGGUUUAAAGGGAGCGUAGGUGGAUUGUUAAGUCAGUUGUGAAAGUUUGCGGCUCAACCGUAAAAUUGCAGUUGAAACUGGCAGUCUUGAGUACAGUAGAGGUGGGCGGAAGUCGGGGUGUAGCGGUGAAAUGCUUAGAGAUCACGAAGAACUCCGAUUGCGAAGGCAGUUCACUGGACUGCAACUGACACUGAGGCUCGAAAGUGUGGGUAUCAAACAGGAUUAGAUACCCGUGUAGUC